RNAcentral lists this non-coding RNA (26 nucleotides) under Mus musculus (house mouse). Lineage: Eukaryota; Metazoa; Chordata; Mammalia; Rodentia; Muridae. The record is from RNAcentral.
UGCUUGCAUAGAUAUUGAAGGUCUUC